RNAcentral lists this unclassified non-coding RNA (282 nucleotides) under Hevea brasiliensis (rubber tree). The record is from RNAcentral. Lineage: Eukaryota; Viridiplantae; Streptophyta; Magnoliopsida; Malpighiales; Euphorbiaceae.
AUCGGCGUUAGCAUCGACGGGCCGCGUGAACUGCACGACCUUUACCGAAAACAAAGGAACGGUGCCGGGUCGUUCGACCGUGCGUAUGAAGGUUUGCGGAUGUUACAGCGCGCGGGCAUUUCCUUUCAUGUCAUCAGCGUGCUGACGGUCGAAAGCAUGGCGCAGCCGGAGAAGAUGCUCGAUUUCUAUGUCGAGAACCAGAUCGGGUACAUCUGCUUCAAUGUUGAAGAGCAGGAAGGAGCAAAUGCCAGGUCGAAACUCGUGAACUGCGAAACUGCGGAC